RNAcentral lists this ribosomal RNA (366 nucleotides) under Triticum aestivum (bread wheat). RNAcentral's name for it is "partial small subunit ribosomal RNA". The record is from RNAcentral. Lineage: Eukaryota; Viridiplantae; Streptophyta; Magnoliopsida; Poales; Poaceae.
AUGGAACGAGCGAGCAACGGCAGCGCACAAGACGAUGAGCUCAGCCUUGAGCUUACCCUGGCCACCGAGGCGCCGGCGUCUGGCGCACCAGACGGCUUCUUCCUCUGCGUCCACUGCGACCGCAAGUUCCGCAGCUCGCAGGCGCUCGGCGGCCACCAGAACGCGCACAAGCAAGAGCGUGCCGUCGCCAAGCGCCGGCGAGAAGCUGCUGCGGCAGCCACCCGCACACAGGAAUCAAGGUCAAGGAAGGCGGGGAGGCAUGCUGCUACUGCUACUGGGAUGUCCGAGCCUGCAGAGGGCAAGCAGGGCGGGAGCUCGUCCAAGUGUGGCGACGACGACGAGGUGGACUUGUCUCUCCGGCUAUAA